Molecule: long non-coding RNA, 5543 nt
Filed under: Homo sapiens (human)
Lineage: Eukaryota; Metazoa; Chordata; Mammalia; Primates; Hominidae
Description: HSALNT0328582
Source: RNAcentral
GACUAGCUCAACCGCCGCGCCAGUGCCCGCCUCCUCUUCCUUAACGCCUAGGGCUGCGCCCACCAGCCGGCAACGUCCAGGAAAGGGCCACAGGAGAAAUGACACCCGUGCAAUGCGGAGUGUCCCGGCUCCGCUUCCCCGCAGGGACUCGAGGUGCGCUCCUUUUCCUGGCCACGGUUUAGGGAGGCUCGGAGAUGGACACCUCGGCAGUAUCUGGCGACCCUCUUCUCACUCGCUCCGCCCACUCCUGCUCUCCAGGGUCCCAGCCAAGGGCCCGAACCCUCGGAGUCCUAGUGAGCCUUGGCCGCUUUGUCUGGGAUCAGGCUUAUCCUCCUAGCCCACGGCCCGGGAGGGAACAAAGAGCCUCGACCCUCAAGCUCUAGCCUCUGCCUCUCAUCGGAGCCCCAUGCGCCCAUUCAUCACCUUUCUAAAGACCCCUUUGUCUGCCUGGCAAGCACAGGUCUGCAAGGGAUGCCCACGCCCCUGCCCAAAGUCCUGCUUUUCUAACAACUGAGCUAGAUUGGAUUUUCAAGCCACCCAGUCUUGUGUAAACGACCUCAUACCGGUCUUUUUUACCCCCUCAGAAUAGACCAUGUAUAGAUUCGUUGAUGCAUGACGACCAUUCCAGCCCAUUCCUUGCUAGCUUUUUCAUUCUCUUCCAGUCCGCUUUGACUGUGCUACUGUUUUCCUGGUUUUCUACAGAAUAGCAAGUCCUUCUGUAAGGAUCAACCUGCAUCUUGCUCGCUUAAAUAAAUGCUUAUUACCUAGGGAGCAGGAAUAUUAAGAAAUGGAGUGCAGGAAGUUUAAGAGCAUGUGUGUGUGUUAGCAGUCCCAUCUCUCUCUCUCUCACACACACAUACACACACACGCAAGGGCUGUUUUCUUUGUUUUAAUCAAUGUCAGAGAAAAAUAUAAACUGGGCAGGCAUCUCUGCUGGUGUGUAGUUUCUGAUAGAGGACGCCUCCAAACCGGAACAGGGAGGAUUUCCGAAACAGGACUUUGAAUAGAGUUGACAAUCAGGUUCACAUCCUCAGAAAAAGCCUUCCAAGCUAUGUCAGCAACACAAAGUUGCACCACCUCCUGGGUAAACUUCAAAGACACAGAGGCCAGCGGGUGGAAGGAAGUGUGAUAUUUAGAGAACUUAGUGGGGCGGGGGAGAGUCUGAACUCAUCUAGACAAACUAAAAAAAAUAGCAGAAAUAUAGUCUGUGUGAAGCUACAGUACCCAGUUUCUUUCUAAAACUGUAACCAUGACGCCCAUGCGUUUUAGCCGUAGAAGAACAAAUAAGGAAGUAUCCUUAGUGGUACUGGAGUUUCUAAUUCAAAUUAUAACACAUUAAUCUAUCCAACGUCAAAUAGAAAAAAAAAAAGUAGAGAAACAGAGUAUACCUAUUUCCUGCUUUCUAAGCUUUAACUUCAGCCCUUCGAGAAACCAUCUAUCUCCAGUAUCUCCUUAGGUGAUAGGACAUUGAAAACAGGCAACCGUUUGGUGAAUAAAGACAUUUCUCUUGAGUUCUGCCCACAGAUUAAAAGGACAAGGACACACGUUCUUUGUUGACACUUCUGCAGUGACUUCUCCUUUGGCGAGAGAGCACCCAGGGCCAACACAACUGUCACCACAACCACACAGAGCAAGUUGAACUCAUACUGGGAACAGCUUAGAGAAGCACGCACAUCUCAACAACAGCCUUUGUUAUUUAAUUCAUGACACUAACCACGCGCAAGCUCAAACAAACACACAUGCUAUCCUAACCAUCACUCUACCCUCUAUAUUCACAUUUCAUUUAUGGCUUGACUUUUUGUCAUAUCCUGAAAUGAAGCUUUGCAUUUACCCGAUGAGUUGCGUCUCCUGGUGCUCCUCAGUUCUUGCUAUUUCUUUUGUCUUAUAAAAGAUCAGGAGCAGACUUAUUGUGCAGAUCGUCCACCUCUUCCUAAUGGAGCGCAUCUUGGGUGCCCGAGAAAGUCCUGGUUGCCCCAGCUCCCGCACCUUCUCUUGAUAUAAAGGCUCCGUUUUGGGGAGAUAGUCGCGGGGGUGAAAUCUGUAAAAUGCGAGGAGAGCUUGGAGCCGGGAUCCCGGGAUCAGAUCACUGGGGUCUUCUGUGGCCGAGCUCCCUCUGGUCCUCGAACGCUGCCCAGCGACCUCUCGCCCUGUUUGCGCCAGCUCUGCCAGGGUCGCUCCGCGCCGCCUCCCUGGGGCUCAGGUUUCUUUUCAGAUGAGACACCUUGUGCAUUGGAGGUGGCGGCAGCUUCUGCAGCUGGGUUCGGGGGCGUCACUGGCCCUUCCCUCUUGCUAGGAGAUAAACGCUGCGCAAAGCCAAUCACCAGGCUGAGGGGGCGGAGGCUGCUUGGAGAGUAACGUCCCCGGCUCUGCCUGCUCUGUGCCGGGAGAGGAAGCUCACAGUGCUACGCGCCUGCGAGCUCGCGCACAUACACAUAUACAUACAUACACACAUACAUACAUAUGCACACACACGUACACGCAGAAUCACACACACUCUCCUGGGACAUCAAAGCAUCAGCUCUCUGGACCUGGGAGCUCCAAGAUAGUCUAUCCGCAUCUAGGUGAGAGGGCACCUCGCCUGGGGACAGAUUACAAAAGCGUCCCGCCAGAGGAAUGCUUCAGGUAGAGCUAGGGGUGGAUUGCAAGAAGAGUACCUUCUUUCAAUCGCUUUUGCUAAACACACACCCUCACACGCAAAAACACGCCCUCCAAGGUGGAGUGAAACGGGGUGCGGGGGUGGGGACGGCGGUGGAAGGAAGAAGACUUUUAUUACUCAAUCUGGAAAGUGCAAAUACACACAUGAACCUGUUAGCCGAUGGGCCCACUCUGCAUGGGUGGUGGACGACGACCCUGGCUCAGGAUUCUGCAGGAAACAAGUGAUGAUAGAGGUGUCAUUAGGAACUUUAUGGAUAUUUAUGCGCCUCCCUUUCAUUGCCAUUUGGAAACUCCUCACGCAGAAGUCAAGGAAACUCCAAUCCCACUUAAACUUCAUUGCGGAGAAACAGAGUUCUGAAAAAAAAGCAGCUACCAUGGACCUCUCUUUUAAACGCAAGUACACCCACACACAUUCGGAUACCAAGGAAGGAAGGAAAGAAAGAAAGGAAAGAAAAGGGAGGGGAGGAAGGAAGAGCAAAGUCCUCUCUAAAAGUCUCAAUUAUAUAUAUAGCCUCUGAUUGUCACCUCUCCUCCGUCCCACCAUUUUUCGUACUUGUAUUGGGUGGCAGGGACACUUUUCAAGAGUUCUGUGUUCGAUUGUUCACUCUGAGUACCUCUCCACCAUCCUCCAGUCGUUGCCCUCAUUGGGAGAGAUGCUUGCUACUCUGCUAGUACCACGCCUUGGUUCCGGUCUUUACUGUUGGCUGGUAGGUCGGGAGGCACCUCUAGCAUGAGACAGUGUCUGGAAGCCAGGAUUUCCCUCAUCUAUAUGCGCCGGUCCCCAGCUCCCUGGUCGCCAGGGUUUCUCUCCAGUUGAAUUCCGUGUUCCUUCAGGUUGAACAGUAGCUUCAGCGGUUUUUCACGCUCAGAAAUGAUGAGGCCCAAUUCCAAUCUUCCCUCCCGCCGGAAGUAAGAAGGGGAAUUCUGAGUUGCUUGUCGCCUGACAGCUUAAAAUAGCAACGAAAACAGCCAGCAUCUUUGCUUAAAAACCCAAGGUUCCCGCCAGUGUUUACCAUACUUCCUCUAGAGUUUAAGAAGUUAAGAACUUCCGAGAUCUUGAAUUUCCUCUUUGCAGCACAGCGAACGGGGUCGGGUAUAAAAAUGCUCCAAGGAGCAAGUAAUUACGAACGUUUAUUGACACUACAAGUGGCCCACAGGGAGCCUUUCGAGUUUAUUGAUGUCUAGGCAAAUCCAGCCUGCAUUAAUGCAUUUCUGUUAGAUUGACUUCUGUUAGACUCACUUUUCUUCUGGCAAAAACUGCCAGAAUAAAACAGCUUCUUAUUUAAGUUAAAAGGGAUCCGGGGCUGAGGGCAGGGGUCGGGUGGGAGAGGGAUGCAUGGUUAGGAUGCUAAAUUCUCAAGGAUAAACUUUGAUUUUUAAACAGUAGACAACUAUAUUUUAGAUUAUAGGUAAAACAUCACUCUCUGUCAGGGAUAGAGUAAUAUGCAUCGUUUCAUUAAACUCAUUAUUUCUUAAGCAAUGGUUAUGGGGCAGGCAAUGUGUGCGGAGAUGGGAACACAAAGAUGAAUAAAACUUAGCAUCUAGUCAGACACAAAUCCUACUCACUCAAAGGGGGCAUCUUUUAAAAAUAAUAAUUUACAGUAUGGCAACAUGAAUCAGAAACAUCAUUUAAAAUAUAUAUGGUAUCUGAGUAAGCUCCUGGGUUGAAGCAGAUGGGGUGUUUAAGCCUUUUGAAGCCCGGAAGAUGAGUUUCCGGGUGAAGGGGACACACAGACUCCUGUUUUCAAAGCUGACAAGGAAGUAAGCCAAGCAGAGGGAGGAUAGAACAUUGCAGGUGGAAAAAGGAGUAUGCGCAACUCCAGAGAGUAAUAAAACUCUGGUGCUUUGGGGCAACUUUGAAGUGGCUCAGUACUGUUAGAAGGGAAAGUGGUAAGGGAGAGUGCUGGUCCAAAAGUUUCGGUGUACUCAUAAUAUUCUAUGGCUCCAGAGUGUGGAACAGUCUUCUGUAAUGAGAAAGCCACAAGAAAAUCUUCAAGAGGAAAGUGAGUAUAAUCUAUAUUAAGCUUUAAAUUACAUUAGGGGAAACUACUUACCUAGCCCAAACAGGAAAAAACAAACAAACAAACAAAAAAAGAAAAGAAAAAAAAAAAAAAAAAGAGCGAAACGAAAGCAAUCAAGAACUAGUUAUAGGAACACAUAAGACAAAUUUAAAUGUCCAGAAGAAAAAUAAGUGAACUCUCCAAUUGUAUAAUGCUGCUGUUUCUGAAUUUUUUAAGUACAGAACUUUUUAUAUUAAGGCGAGCAAUUCUGAAUGACUGAUAACUGUUCAGCGAGACUCCAGGAAUUCUUCUUCCCAAAUUAAAGCAAUUUAGUGUUUGGAGUGUAAUUGAAUGCCAUUUGUUUAAUAUUGUUAGAUUCGUUAAAUAUAUAGCCAUUAUAAUUUGCCAAUUAAAAAGAAGCCAUACAGGCCAAUACUUAGACAAAAGUGAGGACAGCAUGGUUUUUUCUCAAUAUGUAAAUAGGUGCAAGAACUAUAAAUAUUGGAUAAAAAGUCUUUUGGAAUUAACUUCUAUUAGAAUGCUUAGUUUGAUGUUCCUGAGCACCAAAAGACUAUAAAGAAGUCUUUUGGAAUUAACUUCUUCUAUUAGAAUGCUUAGUUUGAUGCUCCUGAGCAAAUAAGAUUGUUUCUAAAUUUUCAUUUGAUCUUUGGAUUGUAAGUUCUUCAAUAAAGAGAAUAUAUUUGUCUUUAUUCAGCACAAUUCUACAAUUAUACAAUAGCCUAUAAAUAAAUAAUGUGAGUAAUGGCAGCUGGUUUUAAAAUGAUACUUUAUCCUUUGACUUAAUGUAAAUUCAUGUUUUCAUUGCUGGCUGUACUCUCAAAUCUAGCUGGCAAGAAAUGAAUAGAUACUUGCAGUCUCAUGGUGGAG